Molecule: ribosomal RNA, 468 nt
Filed under: uncultured bacterium
Lineage: Bacteria
Description: partial 16S ribosomal RNA
Rfam family: Bacterial small subunit ribosomal RNA
Source: RNAcentral
GACGAACGCUGGCGGCGUGCUUAACACAUGCCAGUCGAACGGGAAGGCCCUGCUUUUGUGCGGUGCUCGAGUUGCGAACGGGUGAGUAACACGUGAGUAACCUGCCCUUGACUUUGGGAUAACUUCAGGAAACUGGGGCUAAUACCGGAUAGGAGCUCCUGCUGCAUAGUGGGGGUUGGAAAGUUUCGGCGGUUGGGGAUGGACUCGCGGCUUAUCAGCUUGUUGGUGGGGUAGUGGCUUACCAAGGCAUUGACGGGUAGCCGGCCUGGGAGGGUCACCGGCCACAUUGGGACUGGGAUGAGGCCCAGACUCCUACGGGAGGCAACAGUGGAGAAUAGUGCACUAUGGGCGGAAGCCAGAUGCAGCCACGCCGCGUGCGGGAUGACGGCCUUCGGGUUGUAAACCGCUUUCGCCUGUGACGAAGUGUGAGUGACGGUAAUGGGUAAAGAAGCACCGGCUAACUACGUG